CCCGUAUGCAUGUAAGUGUAUGCAUGUAAGUACGGUUGGCCCAAAGACGAAUUCUUGCAAGAUUUGGGAAACAGAGUGAAACAGUAUCUAUUCCUCUCUCAAGGUCUUUGUAGUUUGCUGUGACAACACAUGCAGACACCUGGAGGGUUCUAGCAUGUCCUGGCCCUCCCCCACUUCACACCCAGAUCUUCCAAAUUUCCAGCACAGCUGAUCAACAGUAGCCACACACCCAUCACAAGGGCCUUAACAUGGAUCCAAAGAGGCAGUAGCCAGGCAAAGACAAAAGCUUUUCACCGAGUAUUCUUCCAGCUUUCUUUCAGGGUCCCCCUCCUGGAUGUGGCAGGCCUCCCAGAUUCCCCUGGAAGUUCUGACUUGCCCAUACACACAAGGACCUCAGGAAACCCAAUAGUGACUUUCCUCAGAUCUGUGAAUUCCUUCUUCUGGAAAAUAACCUUCUCAACAAUUGUCUCACAUGGAGUUCCAUCAGUGAGUCCCACCGGGUCUACCUAGAAGCUGUAUCCAGAAUCUGGUCACUGCACAACAUCUCCUCUGCUUCCUCCCUGCUUUGAGGCACCAUUGAAUCUCUCUUGGUUGAAGGCAGUAACCUUCUAACUGGUCUCCGCUUGCAUCCCUUCCCACCUAUGUCUGUUCUCAACAUAGCUGCCAGCGUGAUCACGGCCCUUCUCUACUUAAAAUCCUCCAAAACACUCCAUGUUGCAUAAAGGGCAAGAUGUCUUUAAAAUGCGAAAGAGGCACUUCUGGAGCACUCUCUGCCACAUCUGACCUCAAUUUGUGCCCCUUUCCGUCUUAUUUACUCUGUUCCAGCCACACUGCCCUCCUGGAUUCUGUAAACAUUCCAAGCAUGCUGCCACCUCCAGGCAUUUGCACUGGCUGAUCCCUCUGCUUUGAAUGCUCUUGCUUUACUCCAAUGGCAUCCUCUCAGUGAGGGCUACUCUAUCCACUUUAUAGAAAACCAUGUACCUUCCCUGUACUCUGC
RNAcentral lists this long non-coding RNA (997 nucleotides) under Homo sapiens (human). RNAcentral describes it as "non-protein coding lnc-KMO-3:2". Lineage: Eukaryota; Metazoa; Chordata; Mammalia; Primates; Hominidae. The record is from RNAcentral.